AUGGAUAAGGGCCUCUUCGCCAACGACGGCUCCUUCAUGGAGAGAUUCAAGCAGAUGCAGCAGGAGAUGCAGGACAAGGAGAAGCCCGCAGCCCCCGCCACCACCACUGGUGCUGUCUCCUCUGCGCCGGCCAAGCCUGUCAACCCCAAGACGCCCCUUGUCAUUGUGGCAAACAAGAGGCCGCUCGAGGUGAAGAAGUCCGGCUCGGUCUUGUCGGGCGGGAAGCUGGCCUUUAGCCUCAAGAAGAACAAGAUCCCCAUUGUGCCUGUCAAGUUUGGAGCCGAGGAGGAGGACGACGACGACGUUGCCGGUGUGGAGAGGGGGGAUCAUGCGAAGCGGCACAAGUCCAUUGAUGCUCCCUCAGCUGCUGCCCCAGCUAGGGUUGUUGCCUCAGCACCACCAAAUGAUAUGACAGUGAGGCAGGUUGCUGACAAAUUAGCAAGCUUUGUUGCCAAAAAUGGGAGACAGUUUGAGGAUAUUACACGCCAGAAGAAUCCUGGAGAUUCACCAUUCAAGUUUCUGUUUGAUAAGAACUGUUCAGACUACAAAUAUUAUGAGACUCGGCUUGCUGAAGAGGAAAAGGUGCAUGCUCAGACAAAGGAUGCUCAGGCUUCAAAAAUUGUUAAUUCAAGCACUGCAAGCUCCAUAGCACAUACUGGUGCACAGAGAAGCUCAUUUGAACAAAGAUCUAACUAUCAAACACCUGCUUCCGCUUUAUAUGGGGCAUAUGAAGGUAGUUCAUCCCAGGGAAGCUCAUCUAGUCAUGGUGGUCAAAGUAUGUCUGCACCCUCAGAUCCAGUAGCAUUGAUGGAAUUCUACAUGAAGAAAGCUGCACAGGAAGAACGGAAGAGACCACCAAGGCAGUCAAAAGACGAAAUGCCACCACCUCCAUGCCUUAUUCAGGGUCCUCCUAAGAAGGGACACCACAUGGGGGACUUCAUUCCUCAAGAAGAACUCGAGAAGUUCAUGGCACGCUGUAAUGAUGCUGCAGCACAAAAGGCUACCAAAGAAGCUGCAGAGAAGGCUAAGAUUCAGGCCGAUAAUAUUGGGCACAAGCUUCUGUCUAAGAUGGGCUGGAGGGAAGGUGAGGGUCUUGGCAGCGAGAGAAGUGGCCGUGCAGAUCCCAUUAUGGCUGGAGAUGUGAAACAGGACCACCUUGGUGUUGGUGCUAUCCAACCUGGUGAGGUGUCAUCUGAAGAUGACAUCUACGAGCAAUACAAGAAGCGAAUGAUGCUAGGCUACCGCCAUAGGCCGAACCCACUGAACAACCCAAGGAAACAAUACUACUGA
RNAcentral lists this ribosomal RNA (1290 nucleotides) under Triticum aestivum (bread wheat). RNAcentral's name for it is "partial small subunit ribosomal RNA". The record is from RNAcentral. Lineage: Eukaryota; Viridiplantae; Streptophyta; Magnoliopsida; Poales; Poaceae.